Molecule: ribosomal RNA, 676 nt
Filed under: uncultured Curvibacter sp.
Lineage: Bacteria; Pseudomonadati; Pseudomonadota; Betaproteobacteria; Burkholderiales; Comamonadaceae
Description: bacterial SSU rRNA
Rfam family: Bacterial small subunit ribosomal RNA
Source: RNAcentral
AGUGGCGAACGGGUGAGUAAUGCAUCGGAACGUACCGUGUAGUGGGGGAUAACGUAGCGAAAGUUACGCUAAUACCGCAUACGAUCUAUGGAUGAAAGCGGGGGAUCGCAAGACCUCGCGCGAUUGGAGCGGCCGAUAUCAGAUUAGGUAGUUGGUGGGGUAAAGGCUCACCAAGCCGACGAUCUGUAGCUGGUCUGAGAGGACGACCAGCCACACUGGGACUGAGACACGGCCCAGACUCCUACGGGAGGCAGCAGUGGGGAAUUUUGGACAAUGGGCGCAAGCCUGAUCCAGCCAUGCCGCGUGCAGGAUGAAGGCCUUCGGGUUGUAAACUGCUUUUGUACGGAACGAAAAGGUUUGGCCUAAUAAGCUGAGCUCAUGACGGUACCGUAAGAAUAAGCACCGGCUAACUACGUGCCAGCAGCCGCGGUAAUACGUAGGGUGCGAGCGUUAAUCGGAAUUACUGGGCGUAAAGCGUGCGCAGGCGGUUAUGUAAGACAGAUGUGAAAUCCCCGGGCUCAACCUGGGAACUGCAUUAGUGACUGCAUAGCUGGAGUACGGCAGAGGGGGGAUGGAAUUCCGCGUGUAGCAGUGAAAUGCGUAGAUAUGCGGAGGAACACCGAUGGCGAAAGGCAAUCCUCCUGGGCCUGUACUGACGCUCAUGCACGAAGCGUGG